This 349-nucleotide unclassified non-coding RNA is filed under the name soil metagenome. RNAcentral describes it as "partial contains 5.8S ribosomal RNA, internal transcribed spacer 2, and large subunit ribosomal RNA". The stretch from base 1 to 120 matches the Rfam family "5.8S ribosomal RNA", at positions 35 to 154 of the family's 154-position model. The record is from RNAcentral.
GAUGAAGAACGUAGCGAAAUGCGAUAAGUAAUGUGAAUUGCAGAAUUCAGUGAAUCAUCGAAUCUUUGAACGCACAUUGCGCCCGCCAGUAUUCUGGCGGGCAUGCCUGUCCGAGCGUCAUUUCAACCCUCGCGCCCAUCUGGGCUGCGGUGUUGGGGACCGGCCUGCCCCCCCGGGGCGCGCCGCCCCCCAAAUUCAGUGGCGGUCUCGCUGCAGCCUCCCUUGCGUAGUAGCACACCUCGCACCGGAGCGCAGCGCGGCCACGCCGUAAAACCCCCGACCCCCAUGAGUUUGACCUCGGAUCAGGUAGGAAUACCCGCUGAGUUUAAGCAUAUCAAUAAGCGGAGGA